UACGAGGGGGGCAAGCGUUAUUCAAUAUAACUAGGCGUAAAGCGUCUGUAGGCGGCAAGUUUCGUUAUCAUAAAAAAUUAAAGCCCAACUUUAAAACAUUGAUAAAACGUGCUUUGCUAGAGUCAUGGAGAGGGUAGUAGAAUUUCUGGUGUAGCGGUGAAAUGCGCAGAUAUCAGGAGGAACACCAAUGGCGAAGGCAGCUCGCUGGAACGGUACUGACGCUGAGGCGCGAAAGCGUGGGGAGCGAACAGG
RNAcentral lists this ribosomal RNA (252 nucleotides) under uncultured bacterium. RNAcentral describes it as "partial 16S ribosomal RNA". It matches the Rfam family "Bacterial small subunit ribosomal RNA", at positions 524 to 776 of the family's 1533-position model. The record is from RNAcentral.